This 70-nucleotide transfer RNA is filed under the name Camelus bactrianus (Bactrian camel). It matches the Rfam family "tRNA". Rfam says of the family: Transfer RNA (tRNA) molecules are approximately 80 nucleotides in length. Their secondary structure includes four short double-helical elements and three loops (D, anti-codon, and T loops). RNAcentral also lists the same sequence under 2 other names. The record is from Rfam by way of RNAcentral. Lineage: Eukaryota; Metazoa; Chordata; Mammalia; Artiodactyla; Camelidae.
GGGGGAAGCUCAUUGGUAGAGUGUGUGCUUAGCAUGCAUGAGGUCCUGGGUUCAAUCCCUGGUACCUCCA